CCUACGGGUGGCACCAGUGGGGAAUCUUCCACAAUGGGCGAAAGCCUGAUGGAGCAACGCCGCGUGAAUGAAGAAGGCCUUAGGGUCGUAAAGUUCUGUCCUUAGGGAAGAACCGUGGGUAUAGAAAAUGAUACCCACCUGACGGUACCUUUGGAGGAAGCACUGGCUAACUACGUGCCAGCAGCCGCGGUAAUACGUAGAGUGCAAGCGUUGUCCGGAAUUAUUGGGCGUAAAGGGUACGCAGGCGGAUAAUCAAGUCAAGCGUGAAAGGUGUCGGCUUAACCGACAGACUGCGUUUGAAACUGGUUAUCUUGAGUGUAACAGAGGAGAGUGGAAUUCCUAGUGUAGUGGUGAAAUACGUAGAUAUUAGGAAGAACACCAGUGGCGAAGGCGACUCUCUGGGUUAACACUGACGCUGAGGUACGAAAGCUGGGGGAGCGAACGGGAUUAGAUACCCUAGUAGUC
Molecule: ribosomal RNA, 465 nt
Filed under: uncultured bacterium
Lineage: Bacteria
Description: bacterial SSU rRNA
Rfam family: Bacterial small subunit ribosomal RNA
Source: RNAcentral